RNA transcript from Thalassophryne amazonica, 661 nucleotides. It is a transcript of the gene named double-stranded RNA-binding protein Staufen homolog, with no coding region annotated. The record is from RefSeq and is a predicted model, not a curated record. The transcript is spliced from 5 exons. NCBI's taxonomy places the organism in Eukaryota, Metazoa, Chordata, Actinopteri, Batrachoidiformes, Batrachoididae.
AUCCAGUUCUCUUUAGUGUUUGCCAAUGUUGGAGGUGUAACUGGGGUCUGGCCCUGGAAAAAGGAAUAGAGCAUGGCUCAAGUGAAAAUACAGACCUCAGCACCCCUGGCUGGUCCUGGCCUCUCUGGAGUUUCUCCAGUGGCCAUGUCCAGCCCAGGAUCCAUGAGUCUGCAGCCAUCCGUCAAUGGCACAGGCCCGGCCCCUGCACCCUGCUGCCCUGCUCCUUCAGUCGGAUAUGGGGACGCCCCUGUAUCUUCAUCACCACCAGGCCCGCCCCAGGAGAACAUGGCAAACCCUAAAGAGAAAACUCCGAUGUGUUUGGUGAAUGAGUUAGCCCGUUUUAAUAGGAUCCAACCACAGUACAAGCUCCUCAGUGAGAGAGGCCCUGCACAUGCUAAGAUCUUCACAGUGCAGCUGACUCUAGGGGAGCAGGUGUGGGGCAGAAGGCACCAGUAUUAAGAAGGCACAACACUCCACAGCUUCCAAAGCACUGGCUGAGAGUGUCCUUCCCAGGCCAGCACCCCGCUCCCCCAAAGUGGACAUCAACAGCAACCCAGGCAGCAUAACACCUACAGUGGAGCUGAAUGGUCUUGCCAUGAAGAGGGGGGAGCCAGCUAUCUACAGACCUUUGGAUCCAAAGCCCAUGCCCAACUACAGAGCC